ACACUAACUGGAGGACCGAACCGACUAAUGUUGAAAAAUUAGCGGAUGACCUGUGGCUGGGGGUGAAAGGCCAAUCAAACCGGGAGAUAGCUGGUUCUCCCCGAAAGCUAUUUAGGUAGCGCCUCGUGAAUUCAUCUCCGGGGGUAGAGCACUGUUUCGGCUAGGGGGCCAUCCCGGCUUACCAACCCGAUGCAAACUGCGAAUACCGGAGAAUGUUAUCACGGGAGACACACGGCGGGUGCUAACGUCCGUCGUGAAGAGGGAAACAACCCAGACCGCCAGCUAAGGUCCCAAAGUCAUGGUUAAGUGGGAAACGAUGUGGGAAGGCCCAGACAGCCAGGAUGUUGGCUUAGAAGCAGCCAUCAUUUAAAGAAAGCGUAAUAGCUCACUGGUCGAGUCGGCCUGCGCGGAAGAUGUAACGGGGCUAAACCAUGCACCGAAGCUGCGGCAGCGACACUGUGUGUUGUUGGGUAGGGGAGCGUUCUGUAAGCCUGCGAAGGUGGCCUGUGAGGGUUGCUGGAGGUAUCAGAAGUGCGAAUGCUGACAUAAGUAACGAUAAAGCGGGUGAAAAGCCCGCUCGCCGGAAGACCAAGGGUUCCUGUCCAACGUUAAUCGGGGCAGGGUGAGUCGACCCCUAAGGCGAGGCCGAAAGGCGUAGUCGAUGGGAAACGGGUUAAUAUUCCCGUACUUGGUGUUACUGCGAAGGGGGGACGGAGAAGGCUAUGUUGGCCGGGCGACGGUUGUCCCGGUUUAAGCGUGUAGGUGUGUGUUCCAGGUAAAUCCGGUUCACUUUAACACUGAGGCGUGACGACGAGGCACUACGGUGCUGAAGCAACAAAUGCCCUGCUUCCAGGAAAAGCCUCUAAGCAUCAGGUAACAUCAAAUCGUACCCCAAACCGACACAGGUGGUCAGGUAGAGAAUACCAAGGCGCUUGAGAGAACUCGGGUGAAGGAACUAGGCAAAAUGGUGCCGUAACUUCGGGAGAAGGCACGCUGACACGUAGGUGAAGUGAUUUACUCAUGGAGCUGAAGUCAGUCGAAGAUACCAGCUGGCUGCAACUGUUUAUUAAAAACACAGCACUGUGCAAACACGAAAGUGGACGUAUACGGUGUGACGCCUGCCCGGUGCCGGAAGGUUAAUUGAUGGGGUCAGCGCAAGCGAAGCUCCUGAUCGAAGCCCCGGUAAACGGCGGCCGUAACUAUAACGGUCCUAAGGUAGCGAAAUUCCUUGUCGGGUAAGUUCCGACCUGCACGAAUGGCGUAAUGAUGGCCAGGCUGUCUCCACCCGAGACUCAGUGAAAUUGAACUCGCUGUGAAGAUGCAGUGUACCCGCGGCAAGACGGAAAGACCCCGUGAACCUUUACUAUAGCUUGACACUGAACAUUGAGCCUUGAUGUGUAGGAUAGGUGGGAGGCUUUGAAGUGUGGACGCCAGUCUGCAUGGAGCCGACCUUGAAAUACCACCCUUUAAUGUUUGAUGUUCUAACGUGGACCCGUUACCCGGGUUGCGGACAGUGUCUGGUGGGUAGUUUGACUGGGGCGGUCUCCUCCUAAAGAGUAACGGAGGAGCACGAAGGUUGGCUAAUCCUGGUCGGACAUCAGGAGGUUAGUGCAAUGGCAUAAGCCAGCUUGACUGCGAGCGUGACGGCGCGAGCAGGUGCGAAAGCAGGUCAUAGUGAUCCGGUGGUUCUGAAUGGAAGGGCCAUCGCUCAACGGAUAAAAGGUACUCCGGGGAUAACAGGCUGAUACCGCCCAAGAGUUCAUAUCGACGGCGGUGUUUGGCACCUCGAUGUCGGCUCAUCACAUCCUGGGGCUGAAGUAGGUCCCAAGGGUAUGGCUGUUCGCCAUUUAAAGUGGUACGCGAGCUGGGUUUAGAACGUCGUGAGACAGUUCGGUCCCUAUCUGCCGUGGGCGCUGGAGAACUGAGGGGGGCUGCUCCUAGUACGAGAGGACCGGAGUGGACGCAUCACUGGUGUUCGGGUUGUCAUGCCAAUGGCACUGCCCGGUAGCUAAAUGCGGAAGAGAUAAGUGCUGAAAGCAUCUAAGCACGAAACUUGCCCCGA
RNAcentral lists this ribosomal RNA (2062 nucleotides) under Salmonella enterica subsp. enterica serovar Enteritidis. RNAcentral's name for it is "partial 23S ribosomal RNA". It matches the Rfam family "Bacterial large subunit ribosomal RNA", at positions 759 to 2802 of the family's 2925-position model. Lineage: Bacteria; Pseudomonadati; Pseudomonadota; Gammaproteobacteria; Enterobacterales; Enterobacteriaceae. The record is from RNAcentral.